GACGGAGGGUGCGAGCGUUGCUCGGAAUCAUUGGGCGUAAAGGGUGCGUAGGCGGCUUCUUAAGUCCGGCGUGAAAGCCCAGGGCUCAGCCGUGGAAGGGCGCCGGAAACUGGGAGGCUGGAGUGCCGGAGGGGAGAGUGGAAUUCCUGGUGUAGCGGUGAAAUGCGUAGAGAUCAGGAGGAAUACCGGUGGCGAAAGCGACUCUCUGGACGGCAACUGACGCUGAGGCACGAAAGCGUGGGGAGCAAACAGG
Molecule: ribosomal RNA, 253 nt
Filed under: uncultured bacterium
Lineage: Bacteria
Description: partial 16S ribosomal RNA
Rfam family: Bacterial small subunit ribosomal RNA
Source: RNAcentral